Long non-coding RNA from Gasterosteus aculeatus aculeatus (three-spined stickleback), 1253 nucleotides. The record is from Ensembl. Lineage: Eukaryota; Metazoa; Chordata; Actinopteri; Perciformes; Gasterosteidae.
UUUUCAUAAGAGUUUGAGGCGUUUGAUUAAUCUGACCACAUUUUAUUGCAUUAAUGAUUUUUUUUCCCUUCCACUCUGCUGUAAAGACAUUGUAUACAGGCUAAUGCUGUUUUCUCUCCCCUCACUCUCAUUCAUCCUCAACCGUUAUUGCAAUGCAUUGUUGAUGAGGUGAGUCGGAGUCUUAUGUGCUUUCACUCCUAAAGUCAUUCCUAAUGGAGUGGAAACCUUAUAUUUUGUUUCCUAAUGAAGCACAGGAGUGGCAGACAGCUCCGCUUGGGCUGUCCUGUGGCUGCCUGCAGGUUGAAGCCAUCGGCCCGAGCCAAGCUGCUCUGAGGGAGCCAGCAGGGGAUGUUGGGCCGCGGCAGCAGACCGCUUACACAUGAACUUAUGCACAGGCUGAGCAAGUCUGAGGACAUCGAUCCAAAAAUGUCUGAUGGUAGAGGAAGUAUUCCCGAUAUGUGCCUUAGUAAAUAAUCAUUUAAAAAUCCUACAAAGAUAGGCAUCAAAAAUGUUGACGCAAAAAAAAAUAUAUAUAUAUAUAUAUAUAUAUUGUUUAAAAUAUGCAAUUUAAUAACUAUAAUUACUUUAUAGUUUACAAACAUCUGAAAAUAAUAAUUGUGUCUUUGUUAUGUUGAGUUGAGUACACGAGAGAAGUUUCUGUUGGUGGCAAUCAGCAACCUCAUCGCUAUGCUGCAAUAUCUCCACGUUAGAGAAGAACAGCAUCACUCUGAUAACUGUACGAUGAGCAUGAAGCUACGGCACAAAGACUGGAAACCAUGGGAAACUGCUAGCCUGGCUUUCAUUUGCAAAGGUCACUGUGUAACGGUUACUAAUUGUGGAGUCAUCGAGUAGGGGAGGAGAGGGGGCCUAAGCACAUUUUAAACAUAUGGCCUCUGUCCUAUUGUUUAUUGAUGUCGGUAAUUAAUGAUAUAAUGCACGCCACUGAAGUAGUUUGACCUCUGAACCGAUCAUUAUUCAGAAUGUAGCAGCAUCAAUCAAGCUGUGCUUUUCUCACAUGUAUUUCUGUACACCCCCUGAGGGACAGGCAGGGCACCCACUGUAUCCUCAUUUGUAUUCAGCUGACCAAGACCAUAUAUGAAUGAUUUAGAAGUGCGUAUCAGACGUGGACUGAAGGGAGAAGCGGUAAUAUGAGAUUUUACAAGCUCCUGCUAAAGUUGAUGAGGACUACGGCUUCUACUUCUGCGCCUCCAAACUCCAAAUAAAGUCAUUUUCUUUAUAGGAUCAUGGUGUAU